Molecule: ribosomal RNA, 379 nt
Filed under: Callulina sp. KMH 36024
Lineage: Eukaryota; Metazoa; Chordata; Amphibia; Anura; Brevicipitidae
Description: partial 12S ribosomal RNA
Rfam family: Bacterial small subunit ribosomal RNA
Source: RNAcentral
UGCUUAGUCAUAAAAAAUUAACUUACACUCACACCGCCCGGGAAUUACGAGCAUAAGCUUAAAACCCAAAGGACUUGACGGUGUCCCACCCAACUAGAGGAGCCUGUUUAAUAACCGAUACUACCCGAUAAACCUAACUGUUAUUUGACAAUCAGCCUGUAUACCUCCGUCGCAAGCUUGCCAUAUGAAUGACUUACAGCAAGCUCAAUGAAUUUUUAAUCAAAACGUCAGGUCAAGGUGCAGCCUACAUAACAGACUAAAAUGGGCUACAAUUUCUAUAUCAGAACAAACGAAAGGCCUCAUGAAAUCUAGCCAAGAAGGUGGAUUUAGCAGUAAAAAGAAAAUAGAGAGUUCUUUUAAAUAAGGCAAUGGGACGUGU